RNAcentral lists this unclassified non-coding RNA (1337 nucleotides) under Hevea brasiliensis (rubber tree). Lineage: Eukaryota; Viridiplantae; Streptophyta; Magnoliopsida; Malpighiales; Euphorbiaceae. The record is from RNAcentral.
CUAAAUUACUAGAAGCUCACUUUCGAGUGGAUUUGGAUUGGAUUCAAAGUUCUUUCUUUGGGCUUUUAUCUUUUCUUGAAUCUUCUUAUCUUUAACUAAAUUCUUUUUAUCUGAUGGGUGAACUUUUUAUUUUGUCAAUAAAGUUUUAUGUAUUUUGCAGGAUUGUUUGCUGCUACAAAUGAUGGCGAAUAUGCUUUCUUAUGUCAUGUAAUUUUCUUUUCUUGAUUGUGCAUUCUUGGGGAUCGGGUGAUUUAUCUGAUCUCGGAUUCAUGAGAUUCUAUUGUUUCUGCAAAUCCUUGAUUAGUUUCAGGACAAAAUUUGCUGGACUGAUAUUGAAAAGCGAUGGGUUGGCUAACCAAAAUUUUAAGAGUUUCUAGCUAUAAAGGGCAGUAUCUUGGGAAGUAUGCAGAAGAUAGAUAUUGGGAUGAGCCUCACCAUUCAGUGGAUGAUGUAUCAGAUUUUGACAGAGAAGAUAUUGAUUGUGCUAUUGCACUUUCUCUUUCAGAACAAGAUCAAAAAGGGAAAAAGGUCAUUGGUAAGUUGCAUUGCUGUUAAAAUUUGUGUAUUUAUUUAUGUCUGAUUGCUUUGUGUAAAAUCUGUAAGUUUCUUAUAAAAUUCUGUUUAGUUUCUUUUAAUCAACAUUUGCUUGUGUAUUGUAUAAGAUAGGGUUAAGAACAAGUGUUUUCCUUAUUGAUUCACUAUCAUGCUUUAUUAUUGUUUAAUAGUCAAAUAAGAAAUGUGUUUAAAGCAGAGGAAGAUGAUGGCUCCUCUCAGUCAGAGGAAGCUGAAGGGCGUGCAAAAGCAGAGGAAGCUGAAAGGCGUGCAAGAGCAGAGGAAGCUGAAAGGUGUGUGAGGGCUGAGGAAGAUGAAAGGCAUGUGAGAGCUCAACUAGAGGAGGAUGAACAACUUGCUAAAGCUCUUCAAGAAAGUUUAAAUGAGUCACAAUAUGAUUUUGGAAAUGCGAUUUCACCUUAUCCAUUUCUCUUUCCAUCUGGCUAUAGGUAGAUUUGGUUGUAUGGAACAUUUGUUUUGGUCUCUGACCAUUGUCUAAGUGCUGGACAGUAUUAGUUAGAUUUCAAUCAAAUUUCAAAAGAAUAAUUGUUUCUUUUGAAUGCUUUCUGUGCAUGAAGUUAAGAUGCUUUGUAUCAGAUUUGAGCUGGCAAAACCUGUUUCAUUCAUGUGCAAAAUUUUUUCCUUGUGUUUCUGGGUAGGGGGUGGUAUUUAGCCAUAGCAUCUCAGAAUAUAGAGAGUAGUUUUCUUUACAAAUAUGGUACUUGCAGGGGAGGCAUUGUUGUUUCAGAAUGACAUUGGUAAUUGAUGGUUUGAAGUUCUAGCUA